Cydia strobilella is the source of this 230-nucleotide long non-coding RNA. RefSeq lists it as uncharacterized. NCBI's taxonomy places the organism in Eukaryota, Metazoa, Arthropoda, Insecta, Lepidoptera, Tortricidae. The transcript is spliced from 2 exons. The record is from RefSeq and is a predicted model, not a curated record.
AAUUUUUUUUCUGAUAAGGCCCCUACGAGCGUGUACACUUGCCUUAGGGCCUGUUUACAUAUCGAUUAGUGUUUAGUACGAGUUCAUACAUUUGCUACUAAACUUAAGUACUAUCUCGGACGAUCGAUGUUCGAAAUGACAUUGAUAUGUCACAGUUUUCAAUUGUUUGGUUGAGUUAAAUGUAAUGCCAGUGUUACAACAACACUAUAUGCAACAUUUAAUUACUUUUU